UGAGGAUGUGGUAGAUCCUGGGAGGCCACUCUGAUCCUGCCAACCUUGAGGCCAGAUGAGUCUUUGAAAAACAUGGUUUGGCUUAACACCAGCACUUAGUCUAACACCCACCAUGAAUCUUGCUGAAGUGAAGCUAUACAAAUACCUUUUCAAAAGAUUUUUUUUCAUUCCAGAUCCUUCUUAGAAAUUCCUAAGGCUCAAUGUUGUGUGGAAGAUUCUGAGAAAGAAAAUAGUUUCCGAUCUUUGGGAUUCCCCUGAGAUGGUCCAAUCUGCAAAAAGUUCAUUGCCAUUUCCAUCAAGGACACUGAGAACAAGAGUCUUAUCCGCAUUGAAUCCUGGGAAUUGAGAAGCUUCAGCAGGGCUUCCGCUGGAACUAGGAUGAGGAUGUGGACACCCCCAACCUGGACCAUCUGGCCGAGGAGGGCGUCAAGGCCAAGUACCUCAUGCCACCCCUUGUCACAAUGACCUCCCCGUCCCACUUCACUGCCAUCACAGAUGCAUGUGAAAUUAGGUGCUGUGACUCAGAUCGGGGGACCUCCCUUGGGAGAUCAAUCCCCUGUCCUCCUGCUCUUU
RNAcentral lists this long non-coding RNA (573 nucleotides) under Homo sapiens (human). RNAcentral describes it as "HSALNT0339104". The record is from RNAcentral. Lineage: Eukaryota; Metazoa; Chordata; Mammalia; Primates; Hominidae.